Molecule: long non-coding RNA, 1104 nt
Organism: Beta vulgaris subsp. vulgaris (sugar beet)
Lineage: Eukaryota; Viridiplantae; Streptophyta; Magnoliopsida; Caryophyllales; Amaranthaceae
Exons: 2
Source: RefSeq, a predicted model, not a curated record
CCCAUGAAGGGUCAAUAUGCGCAGUCAAUUUUAAGUUUGGUAGUUACAUAAGUUAGUCACUCACUCUGAUUUAUUAUGCAAGAAGCAAUUUAAUGCAUUGCCUCAUUUAUUUUUCAUUUAUUGUGCUGUUGAUUGGAAUGUUCCUUAUAUUUAUGUAUGUCUAUUAUAAAUCCCCAAAAGGUGCAAACCUAUACUGUUUUGGGAUGUUUCAGUGUUUGGCAUGUGUAAAGGUUUAUGUGUUUCAUGAUAAUGAAUUUGCCAAAUGGAGGGAGAAAGUGAGAAAUGAUGUAAUUUACGUGCAUCAAAGACAAUAGUACAGUUAGGAUUAUUUACUGAUCAAUUCAGUGACAUCCAAUGUACAUUAUUUUACAUGAGUGUUAAUAUUUGGUAUGUGUGAAUAAUUAUUUUUCUUUUGUUUCAGUGAUCAAUUUUAGUGAGAUCCAAUGCACAUUAUUCUAUAUGAGGCAAAUAUUAGUUAUGUUUAAGGUGUAAACCUAUACUGUUUUGAGAUGUUUCACUGUUUUACAUGUGUAAAGCUUUAUGUGUAGAUGAUACUCAAUUUGCCAAAUGGAGGGAGAAAGUGGAAAAUGAUGUAAUUUACAUGCAUUAAAGACAAUAGUAUAGUUAGGAUAUUUUAGUGAUCAAUUUAGUGACAUCAAAUGUACAUUCUUCUAUAUUAGUGUUAAUAUUUGUUAUGUGUUAAUAAUUAUUGUUGUUACAGUGAUCAUUUAAAGGGACAUUCAAUGUACAUUAUUCUAUAUGAGGGUAAAUAUUAGUUAUGUUUAAUUUAUUUUUUUUUGUCUGCAGAAUAUGUUGAGUGUGAGACAUCUGAAUUGAUACACAAAGAAGUUGCCAACGAUGAAGAAGCUUACAAAUUAUACAAUGAGUAUGCAUUUAAAUGCGGAUUUGGUAUCCGGAAGGGCAAAGUUUGUUGGAGAUAUGAAACAAAGACAAUCAGACAACGUUUUUUAGUUUGUAGUCGGGAAGGAUUGAAAGACACAAAAGGUUGUGUGCCUAAGGCAUUCACUAAGCUUGAUCAACGUUGUGGAUGUAAAGCGUUUAUUCAAUUUGAUGUAUCCAAAGACUCUGGACUUUUUAUUGUUA